Molecule: long non-coding RNA, 2084 nt
Organism: Mirounga angustirostris (Northern elephant seal)
Lineage: Eukaryota; Metazoa; Chordata; Mammalia; Carnivora; Phocidae
Exons: 5
Source: RefSeq, a predicted model, not a curated record
CCCGCCGCGGUUGUCAGGGCUCCUGCCCCGGAAUUGCAGGGCUGGUAUUAUUUUACUUAAUAAUGGUCCCAAAGCGCAAGGAUAGUGAGGGUGGCAAUUAGCAUAAGCCAGAGAAAAGCCCCAAAAUGCUUCCGUUAAGUGAAAAGGUGAAAGUUUUCAACCUGAUAAGGAAAGAACAUAGUACGCUGCGGCUGCAAAGAUCUACGGAGUAAAGAAAGAAAAGUUAUCUAUUGUCGCCAGACAUACACUGAAUGGUAGCUUUAUUUGAACAAUUCCCAUCCUUCCUUCCCGAGGAGCAGCAUUGUAGUCGCCAAGUGUCCUGAAGGAUCUGAUAGAACAGCAAGAAUUUCCAGGUAGAGCCAGUGAUUGAGCCAGCUGCACUCCGUGCUCAACCGGCCUGUGACCACGCGUUUCUAUCUCUGGCACCGGACCCGGUCUGGAGUCUCCAAACCCAGCAGAUCCCUGCGGUGCACUCCCGCGCGGCUCCUCCCGGGGGAGGAAGGUUCUGGGAAAUGAAAAUAAAUGAUCUGGAAGCCUCAGCUACUGGACAACUUUCUCUGGAAGUUGGAGAUCGUAAAGGCCUUGCACCUGAAGUGAGCUAAAUUCACCUCGCCUUGUCUACUGAGGGGAAGGAAAAGGGAAGUCACACCCCAGAGCUCGGCGAGCCCAUAAAAUGGCAGAGCUUCCUGGAGAAGGCUGCCCUGAACCCCAAGGCCCUGGCUGCCGGCGCUGUAAUGAAAUGCAUGACUACGGAAGACAAUAAUAAUUGCAGCAACGGCUCGUUCCAGCUCCCGGAUGAUUUGGUGCUGUCAGGAGUGCGCUGUCCUCUGACAUCCCAGGAGGCGAACGGCACCAGUGACUGCAGGCCCUGAUUGGGGCAGUGAAAUAUUGCUGGCAAAAAUUAAAAGGUCCCCGUGUCAAAAUAAUUCAUGAUAUGCAUAUCUUCCAUUCUGAUGAAACGGCUGAUAUCCGGAUUAGCAAGAUAAUAAAACUGAUCAGGCUACAGUUAAACAAUUUAAGUUGGAGAGCUGUUCAUUUUGUAGGUGUCACUUGUCAGAUCAAGGGGUCAAAGCAGAAUGAAAGGCUCUCCCCGGUAACCUUCCGAUGAUGUGGAUCUGGAAUGUUCUUCAUGAUUUGUCCAAAGUUUUCAUCAUCGGGCUGCCGACUAGCAUUACUGCGGCAGGCUGUGUUCUGACAUUCAAAUCCUCGGAAUGACAGGUUAUUAGGAGAGGAGAACAGGCUCUACAUACAUUAAGCGCCAUAUCUCUGACCUGUAAUGUGAACUGAUAGUGAUAUUGUAAUUGAGUGCGUCUGAAAAAAAGGAGGGGGGAGUCUUUAUUAAAACAUGGGAAUAGAAAGGAAAGCAUUUAUAUUUCUGAUGAUUUGUGGGUUUGUAAAAUAAGCUUUUUGGUGAUGAUUUAUUUUCCAUUUCUAGAAGGCUGAGUGGUGUGCAUAGUGUUUAUCUGGUGUAACAGUUAUUAAACUAAGAUAACACGAAUUCUCUCAGCCUCUCUUCACAUGCUGAGCAGGCACAGAUCAAAAGAGAUUUGUUCUAUUAAAGGCAGUAGCUUUAAAAUGAACAAAAUGGGCCCAAGUACAACCCAAGGCCAGGACGACUCCUCAGGAUGUUUGCCUUAGAGCUCUGGCUUCAUGCGCUGCUCUGCCUGAGGCUGAGCUCUCUCUCCUCCACGAGCCCAGCCAAGGAGGCUGGGCGGCCUCCCUUAUUGGUGUCAGCGACUCCAUUGUGGGGUGGUGUCAUGCACUGGGAAACUAAUUUAAUGUGCAUUAACGGGGUCUUAGGUGAUACCUUUCAGCUUUCUCAUGAAAUACCCUAGUCUUAGGGAGUGAGGCAGGCAAAUCACUGAAUUCAGUGGUGGCUGUGGGUCCCCAGAAAGAGCCUGACUCUUUGGUGACCAUAAAGAGACUCAGUGGGUAGGGGCACCCGGUUGGCUCGGUCGGUUGAGCGUCCCAACUCUUGGUUUCAGCUCAGGUCAUGAUCUCGGUCAGGGUCAUGGGAUUGAGCCCCACAUCGGGCUCUGUGCUCGGUGGGGAGUGUUCUUGGGAUCCUCUCUCUCCCUCUCCCU